GAUCAUGGCUCAGGAUGAACGCUGGCGGCGUGCUUAACACAUGCAAGUCGAACGAAGCCAAAAGGAAGCUUGCUUCUUUGAAGCUUAGUGGCGGACGGGUGAGUAACGCGUGAGUAACCUGCCCUUCAGUGGGGAAUAACACAGAGAAAUCUGUGCUAAUACCGCAUAACGUCUUCUUGCCGCAUGACAGGAAGACCAAAGGAUUUAUUCGCUGAAGGAUGGACUCGCGUCCGAUUAGCUAGUUGGUGAGGUAACGGCCCACCAAGGCGACGAUCGGUAGCCGAACUGAGAGGUUGAUCGGCCACAUUGGGACUGAGACACGGCCCAGACUCCUACGGGAGGCAGCAGUGGGGAAUAUUGGGCAAUGGGCGAAAGCCCUGACCCAGCAACGCCGCGUGAAGGAAGACGGUCUUCGGAUUGUAAACUUCUUUGAUUGGGGAAGAAACAAAUGACCUACCCAAAGAACAAGUCACGGCUAACUACGUGCCAGCCGCUGC
Molecule: ribosomal RNA, 497 nt
Filed under: uncultured bacterium
Lineage: Bacteria
Description: bacterial SSU rRNA
Rfam family: Bacterial small subunit ribosomal RNA
Source: RNAcentral